Molecule: long non-coding RNA, 940 nt
Filed under: Anas platyrhynchos platyrhynchos (common mallard)
Lineage: Eukaryota; Metazoa; Chordata; Aves; Anseriformes; Anatidae
Description: lncRNA (ENSAPLG00000021963.1)
Source: RNAcentral
AUAAGAUCGAAGCCACCUUGUGAAGCCCAGAAAACACAUCCAGGAGGUACUCACGAAGUAUGUAAAACCGAAAGCGGACAGGGGGGUAUUAUUCCAUAUAUAUACGGGUGUUAUUUUUAUGGGUACAGAAGGAGGCAGCCGAGGGGUGCUUUCCGUGGCGAGAUACUCCCCCGGUGCCGCAUCCCCCGAGCCCAUCCCCGCACACGGCAGUGCGCUGGGUGCCGAUCCGUGCACACUGCCGGCCCCCCCCGCGCUGCUCCCGCUCCCCGCACCCCGCCACCAGGGCGCCGGAUCUGGCCCCGAGGGGACCGGCGGCGCCCGGCGGCUGAGCGAGCGCAGCCGGGAGGGGGCCGGCACCGGGACCGGGGCCGUGUUUGGGGCCGGGGCCGUGUUUUGGGGCCGGGGGCGGUGCCGUGCCUGACGCGGCGGCGGGGCGGAGCGGGGGCCGUACAAACGGGCUGGCGCCGGGCGCUGCUCGCAGGAGGAGCGGAGCGGAGCGGGCGGCAGCGGGCGCUCGUUACACCGCCCGCCCCGCCGGCACCGGGAGCGCUUCCCACGGCUCCGCCACCGUCUCCUCCGCCGGUACCGGCACCCACGGGCGCCCAUGGCACGGCGCGGAGGGCUCUGCCCCACGGCUCCGCGCCCCCGCGCAAAGUUUCCGUUUGAGAAAUACGCAUCCACUCAGCAAAACAAAAACAAAUUUUAAAGGUUGUUCUCGGUGGAAAUCACUCCAUGCCCCAUUACCUGCUUGAGUGAAACCAGACUAAGAACUUCUGUCAUGGCAGCUUUUCUGCUGGGAGCUGUGUUGCUUAUUGUUCAACCUCAGAUAGUGCCUUCCAGACCGGCUAUCAAUUCAAAGGCUGAGACUUCUGCUCAGUCUGUUCAGAGAGAGCUUUUAAAGAAAACAUCUCAAAAAAAUGACUUCAAGGAAAACAUUCAU